RNAcentral lists this ribosomal RNA (429 nucleotides) under Chloroflexota bacterium. RNAcentral describes it as "Chloroflexi bacterium partial 16S ribosomal RNA". It matches the Rfam family "Bacterial small subunit ribosomal RNA", at positions 355 to 776 of the family's 1533-position model. Lineage: Bacteria; Bacillati; Chloroflexota. The record is from RNAcentral.
UGGGGAAUAUUGCACAAUGGGCGCAAGCCUGAUGCAGCCAUGCCGCGUGUAUGAAGAAGGCCUUCGGGUUGUAAAGUACUUUCAGUCGGGAGGAAGGUAUCAAGGUUAAUAACCUUGGCAAUUGACGUUACCGACAGAAGAAGCACCGGCUAACUCCGUGCCAGCAGCCGCGGUAAUACGGAGGGUGCAAGCGUUAAUCGGAAUUACUGGGCGUAAAGCGCACGCAAGCGGUUGAUUGAGUCAGAUGUGAAAUCCCCGGGCUUAACCCGGGAAUUGCAUCUGAUACUGGUCAGCUAGAGUCUUGUAGAGGGGGGUAGAAUUCCAUGUGUAGCGGUGAAAUGCGUAGAGAUGUGGAGGAAUACCGGUGGCGAAGGCGGCCCCCUGGACAAAGACUGACGCUCAGGUGCGAAAGCGUGGGGAGCAAACAGG